GAUGAACGCUGGCGGCGUGCUUAACACAUGCAAGUCGAACGGUGAAGCCAAGCUUGCUUGGUGGAUCAGUGGCGAACGGGUGAGUAACACGUGAGCAACCUGCCCUGGACUCUGGGAUAAGCGCUGGAAACGGCGUCUAAUACUGGAUAUGAGCCUCUUCCGCAUGGUGGGGGGUGGAAAGAUUUUUUGGUCUGGGAUGGGCUCGCGGCCUAUCAGCUUGUUGGUGAGGUAAUGGCUCACCAAGGCGUCGACGGGUAGCCGGCCUGAGAGGGUGACCGGCCACACUGGGACUGAGACACGGCCCAGACUCCUACGGGAGGCAGCAGUGGGGAAUAUUGCACAAUGGGCGAAAGCCUGAUGCAGCAACGCCGCGUGAGGGAUGACGGCCUUCGGGUUGUAAACCUCUUUUAGCAGGGAAGAAGCGAAAGUGACGGUACCUGCAGAAAAAGCGCCGGCUAACUACGUG
This 466-nucleotide ribosomal RNA is filed under the name uncultured bacterium. RNAcentral describes it as "partial 16S ribosomal RNA". It matches the Rfam family "Bacterial small subunit ribosomal RNA", at positions 28 to 507 of the family's 1533-position model. The record is from RNAcentral.